UGGGGAAUUUUGCACAAUGGAGGAAACUCUGAUGCAGCGACGCCGCGUGAGUGAUGAAGAUCUUCGGAUUGUAAAACUCUGUCCUUAGUGAAGAUAAUGACAGUAACUAAGAAGCAAGCCCUGGCUAAAUACGUGCCAGCAGCCGCGGUAAUACGUAUGGGGCAAGCGUUGUCCGGAAUUAUUGGGCGUAAAGGGUACGUAGGCGGUUUAAUAAGUCCUAAUUAAAAGGCUAUGGCUCAACCAUAGUAUGGUUAGGAAACUGUGGAACUUGAGUAGAUGGGUGGAAAGUGGAAUUCCAUGUUUAGCGGUGAAAUGCGUAGAUAUAUGGAGGAACACCAAUUGCGAAGGCAACUUUCUGGAAUCAAACUGACGCUGAGGUACGAAGGCGUGGGGAGCAACCAUG
RNAcentral lists this ribosomal RNA (403 nucleotides) under Fusobacteriota bacterium. RNAcentral describes it as "Fusobacteria bacterium partial 16S ribosomal RNA". It matches the Rfam family "Bacterial small subunit ribosomal RNA", at positions 355 to 776 of the family's 1533-position model. The record is from RNAcentral. Lineage: Bacteria; Fusobacteriati; Fusobacteriota.